Molecule: ribosomal RNA, 1335 nt
Filed under: uncultured bacterium
Lineage: Bacteria
Description: partial 16S ribosomal RNA
Rfam family: Bacterial small subunit ribosomal RNA
Source: RNAcentral
UUUGAUCCUGGCUCCAGGGAUGAACGCGGGGGGCGUGCUUAACACAUGCAAGUCGAACGAUGACUUUUGUGCUUGCACAAAAAUGAUUAGUGGCGAACGGGUGAGUAACACGUGAGUAACCUGCCCUUAACUUCGGGAUAAGCCUGGGAAACCGGGUCUAAUACCGGAUACGACGGAUUCCCGCAUGGGGGUCCGUGGAAAGCUUGAUGCGGUUUUGGAUGGACUCGCGGCCUAUCAGCUAGUUGGUUGGGGUAAUGGCCCACCAAGGCGACGACGGGUAGCCGGCCUGAGAGGGUGACCGGCCACACUGGGACUGAGACACGGCCCAGACUCCUACGGGAGGCAGCAGUGGGGAAUAUUGCACAAUGGGCGAAAGCCUGAUGCAGCGACGCCGCGUGAGGGACGAAGGCCUUCGGGUUGUAAACCUCUUUCAGCAGGGAAGAAGCGAAAGUGACGGUACCUGCAGAAGAAGCGCCGGCUAACUACGUGCCAGCAGCCGCGGUAAUACGUAGGGCGCAAGCGUUAUCCGGAAUUAUUGGGCGUAAAGAGCUCGUAGGCGGUUUGUCGCGUCUGCUGUGAAAGCCCGGGGCUCAACCCCGGGUCUGCAGUGGGUACGGGCAGACUAGAGUGCAGUAGGGGAGACUGGAAUUCCUGGUGUAGCGGUGAAAUGCGCAGAUAUCAGGAGGAACACCGAUGGCGAAGGCAGGUCUCUGGGCUGUAACUGACGCUGAGGAGCGAAAGCAUGGGGAGCGAACAGGAUUAGAUACCCUGGUAGUCCAUGCCGUAAACGUUGGGCAAUAGGUGUGGGGGACAUUCCACGUUUUUCCGCGCCGAAGCUAACGCAUUAAGUGCCCCCCUUGGGGAGUACGGCCGCAAGGCUGAAACUCAAAGGAAUGACGGGGGGCCCGCACAAGCAGUGGAUUAUGUGGUUUAAUUCGACGCAACGCGAAGAACCUUACCAGGACUUGACAUCCAACUAACGAAGUAGAGAUACAUUAGGUGCCCUUCGGGGAAAGUUGAGACAGGUGGUGCAUGGUUGUCGUCAGCUCGUGUCGUGAGAUGUUGGGUUAAGUCCCGCAACGAGCGCAACCCCUAUUGUUAGUUGCUACGCAAGAGCACUCUAGCGAGACUGCCGUUGACAAAACGGAGGAAGGCGGGGACGACGUCAAAUCAUCAUGCCCCUUAUGUCCUGGGCUACACACGUAAUACAAUGGCCGUCAACAAAGGGAAGCGAUACCGCGAGGUGGAGCAAAUCCCCAAAAACGGUCUCAGUUCGGAUUGCAGGCUGCAACUCGCCUGCAUGAAGCUGGAAUUGCUAGUAAUCGUGGAUCAGCA